This 401-nucleotide ribosomal RNA is filed under the name Microsporidia sp. clade III. RNAcentral describes it as "SSU rRNA". It matches the Rfam family "Eukaryotic small subunit ribosomal RNA", at positions 1341 to 1791 of the family's 1831-position model. Lineage: Eukaryota; Fungi; Microsporidia. The record is from RNAcentral.
CCUUAACUGUACACUAACAGCUUCUGCGCGAGCAGAAUCUGCUGAUUUGCAGGACUGACUACACCAAGUAGUCGGAAGUUUGAGGCAAUAACAGGUCUGUGAUGCCCUUUGAUGUUCUGGGCUGCACGCGCGCUACACUGACCUGGGCAGCGAGUUUUGCUAGGCUGAAAGGCCUGGCUAAUCUUGUGAAACCAGGUCGUGCUGGGGAUAGAUCAUUGCAAUUGUUGGUCUUUAACGAGGAAUUCCUAGUAAGCGCAAGUCAUCAGCUUGCGUUGAUUACGUCCCUGCCCUUUGUACACACCGCCCGUCGCUACUACCGAUUGGGUGUAUUAGUGAGGUCUUCCGACGGCCGCGAGGCCGAAAGUUGAACAAACUUGUGCACCUAGAGGAAGUAAAAGUCG